This is a small nucleolar RNA of Apodemus sylvaticus (European woodmouse), 128 nucleotides long. RefSeq annotates it as small nucleolar RNA SNORA17. NCBI's taxonomy places the organism in Eukaryota, Metazoa, Chordata, Mammalia, Rodentia, Muridae. The record is from RefSeq and is a predicted model, not a curated record. The transcript has a single exon.
ACUGCCCUUAGAGGCGUUGCAGGUGUGGCUGCUGUGUCCCAUGUGUGUCAGAAGGUGGCAGAGAGGAGAGAGGCUAUGUCUAUGCUUAGUGUUCAGUCCUAGGAAUAUCUGAUUAGCAUUCUUUGAAA